RNAcentral lists this non-coding RNA (22 nucleotides) under Arabidopsis thaliana (thale cress). The record is from RNAcentral. Lineage: Eukaryota; Viridiplantae; Streptophyta; Magnoliopsida; Brassicales; Brassicaceae.
UUGAUGUCGCAUCAUCUGCUGC